This 694-nucleotide ribosomal RNA is filed under the name uncultured bacterium. RNAcentral describes it as "bacterial SSU rRNA". It matches the Rfam family "Bacterial small subunit ribosomal RNA", at positions 141 to 851 of the family's 1533-position model. The record is from RNAcentral.
GGAUAACGUUUGGAAACGAACGCUAAUACCGCAUGAUAUUAUUGAGCUGCAUGGCUUGAUAAUCAAAGGAGCAAUCCGCUGAAAGAUGGGCUCGCGUCCGAUUAGGUAGUUGGCGGGGCAACGGCCCACCAAGCCGACGAUCGGUAGCCGGACUGAGAGGUUGAACGGCCACAUUGGGACUGUGACACGGCCCAGACUCCUACGGGAGGCAGCAGUGAGGGAUAUUGGUCAAUGGGGGAAACCCUGAACCAGCAACGCCGCGUGAGGGAAGACGGUUUUCGGAUUGUAAACCUCUGUCCUCUGUGAAGAUAAUGACGGUAGCAGAGGAGGAAGCUCCGGCUAACUACGUGCCAGCAGCCGCGGUAAUACGUAGGGAGCAAGCGUUGUCCGGAUUUACUGGGUGUAAAGGGUGCGUAGGCGGCUUUGCAAGUCAGAAGUGAAAUCCAUGGGCUUAACCCAUGAACUGCUUUUGAAACUGCAGAGCUUGAGUGGAGUAGAGGUAGGCGGAAUUCCCGGUGUAGCGGUGAAAUGCGUAGAGAUCGGGAGGAACACCAGUGGCGAAGGCGGCCUGCUGGGCUCUAACUGACGCUGAGGCACGAAAGCGUGGGUAGCAAACAGGAUUAGAUACCCUGGUAGUCCACGCUGUAAACGAUGAUUACUAGGUGUGGGUGGACUGACCCCAUCCGUGCCGGAG